AGAGUUUGAUCAUGGCUCAGGAUGAACGCUGGCGGCGUGCCUAAUACAUGCAAGUCGAGCGAACCACUUCGGUGGUGAGCGGCGAACGGGUGAGUAACACGUAGGUGAUCUGCCCAUCAGACGGGGACAACGAUUGGAAACGAUCGCUAAUACCGGAUAGGACGAAAGUUUAAAGGUGCUUCUGGCACCGCUGAUGGAUGAGCCUGCGGCGCAUUAGCUAGUUGGUAGGGUAAAGGCCUACCAAGGCGACGAUGCGUAGCCGGCCUGAGAGGGUGAACGGCCACACUGGGACUGAGACACGGCCCAGACCCCUACGGGAGGCAGCAGUAGGGAAUCUUCGGCAAUGGGCGAAAGCCUGACCGAGCAACGCCGCGUGAAUGAUGAAGGCCUUCGGGUUGUAAAAUUCUGUUAUAAGGGAAGAACGACUUUAGUAGGAAAUGGCUAGAGUGUGACGGUACCUUAUGAGAAAGCCACGGCUAACUACGUGCCAGCAGCCGCGGUAAUACGUAGGUGGCGAGCGUUAUCCGGAAUUAUUGGGCGUAAAGAGCGCGCAGGUGGUUGAUUAAGUCUGAUGUGAAAGCCCACGGCUUAACCGUGGAGGGUCAUUGGAAACUGGUCGACUUGAGUGCAGAAGAGGGAAGUGGAAUUCCAUGUGUAGCGGUGAAAUGCGUAGAGAUAUGGAGGAACACCAGUGGCGAAGGCGGCUUCCUGGUCUGUAACUGACACUGAGGCGAAAGCGUGGGGAGCAAACAGGAUUAGAUACCCUGGUAGUCCACGCCGUAAACGAUGAGUGCUAAGUGUUGGGGGUCGAACCUCAGUGCUGAAGUUAACGCAUUAAGCACUCCGCCUGGGGAGUACGGUCGCAAGACUGAAACUCAAAUGAAUUGACGG
Molecule: ribosomal RNA, 891 nt
Filed under: uncultured bacterium
Lineage: Bacteria
Description: bacterial SSU rRNA
Rfam family: Bacterial small subunit ribosomal RNA
Source: RNAcentral